AGCGAACGCUGGCGGCAGGCCUAACACAUGCAAGUCGAACGAACCUUUCGGGGUUAGUGGCGGACGGGUGAGUAACACGUGGGAACGUGCCUUUAGGUUCGGAAUAACUCAGGGAAACUUGUGCUAAUACCGAAUGUGCCCUUCGGGGGAAAGAUUAAUCGCCUUUAGAGCGGCCCGCGUCUGAUUAGCUAGUUGGUUGAGGUAAUGGCUCACCAAGGCGACGAUCAGUAGCUGGUCUGAGAGGAUGAUCAGCCACAUUGGGACUGAGACACGGCCCAAACUCCUACGGGAGGCAGCAGUGGGGAAUCUUGCGCAAUGGGCGAAAGCCUGACGCAGCCAUGCCGCGUGAAUGAUGAAAGUCUUAGGAUUGUAAAAUUCUUUCACCGGGGACGAUAAUGACGGUACCCGGAGAAGAAGCCCCGGCUAACUUCGUG
Molecule: ribosomal RNA, 434 nt
Filed under: uncultured bacterium
Lineage: Bacteria
Description: partial 16S ribosomal RNA
Rfam family: Bacterial small subunit ribosomal RNA
Source: RNAcentral